This 563-nucleotide ribosomal RNA is filed under the name uncultured bacterium. RNAcentral describes it as "bacterial SSU rRNA". It matches the Rfam family "Bacterial small subunit ribosomal RNA", at positions 338 to 916 of the family's 1533-position model. The record is from RNAcentral.
CCUACGGGAGGCAGCAGUGGGGAAUCUUGCGCAAUGGGCGAAAGCCUGACGCAGCAACGCCGCGUGCGGGAAGAAGGCUUUCGGGCUGUAAACCGCUUUCAGCAGGAACGAAAAUGACGGUACCUGCAGAAGAAGGAGCGGCCAACUAUGUGCCAGCAGCCGCGGUGAUACAUAGGCUUCAAGCGUUGUCCGGAUUUAUUGGGCGUAAAGAGUUCGUAGGCGGUCGAGUAAGUCGGGUGUGAAAAUUCUGGGCUCAACCCAGAGACGCCACCCGAUACUGCUUGACUUGAGUUCGAUAGGGGAGUGGGGAAUUCCUAGUGUAGCGGUGAAAUGCGCAGAUAUUAGGAGGAACACCGGUGGCGAAGGCGCCACUCUGGAUCGAUACUGACGCUGAGGAACGAAAGCAUGGGUAGCAAACAGGAUUAGAUACCCUGGUAGUCCAUGCCGUAAACGGUGGGCACUAGGUGUGGGUUUCUAUUAACGAAAUCCGCGCCGUCGCUAACGCAUUAAGUGUCCCGCCUGGGGAGUACGGUCGCAAGACUAAAACUUAAAUGAAUUGACGG